UGUGGCACCCCGGCUCAGAGAAACCGGGACACCCCGUAUUCCAGCCCAGAAAUCGAGAUGAAGUCUUCUGGAAUACGGCACUACUUAGCAUAGAACAAACCAGCUCUCUAUUACAGCACGAAUAUGAAUACAAGGUCUCCGCUAUUACAAUGAAUAACACCGGCACGACUACACUACGCCAACCACAGUUGCUCUAUGCAAGCAGCAUAACAACUCGAGGCAGCGGAACCUCUACUGGCAGCGGAACAAUGAACGACGAUGAUGGAUUCCAAUCCGCAGGGACUCUGGCUGGAACAUUUAUCCUAGCUCGCGAACACAAGAACUACACCAAACAAGCAAGCAAUCCAGGCAUGACCUGCAAACUAGCAUGACAUGCCAGGUCAGUACAUUGAAUGUACUUGCAAGCUCACAAUAACCAAAAGCAAUCAAGACAGACAACAACAUGGUGAUUACAGGUUAACAAGGAUUAACAUGAUACUAUCAGAUCAAUCCUAGCAUGAACAAGAUGAACAUGACACAGCUAGCACAGUAUGAGCAUGGCAUGAACUUAUGAACAUGAUGAUACUAGCAUGCAACAGGUUAACAUUAUCAUGCACCAACUUACGUUGCUCGGGUUAACUCGUAACCAACACAUGCAUCAACUUACCAACAUCGGUAUCCACGAUACCUCCAUGAUCACAACCAAUCUCUUUCUCAUCCAUGAAUCGGGGUUAUUAUUUAAGAAAGUUAUUAUUAUAGUUGGCUCAUAGUGUGACCGACUACGAACUGGGCCCUUAUCCGCGGGCGCGGCUAUCGAUAGAUUUAACACACACACUCUUCAGAGGUAGCUCACUUUACCCACACCACGAAACCCAUGGCCUCGCACUCCCAUUCGGGUGGACCAACGGUGUUCCGACAAACCGAUCUACUGCCAUGACACUCUCCCGGCCACUCCGACCAACUCCCCUUUGGUCUAAGUCAUGGGUGGCCCGUGCCUACCAAAGGCAUCAACGGCCACCGUCGUGGAAAAACAUAAACAGUCCCAAACGGGGACAAUGGAUCCAUACUCAACAAUGGGCACACAAGGCUUAUGCCGUCCUACCCGGCCAAGGUAGCGCCUGUGCAUAACCUUCCCUCAUUGGAGGCACCGGCGAGAGGCAUGAUAAUAGACCACAUUAGGGCCUUCCCAUAAAAGCAAAUGUGGUUGCACUGGUCAGCUCGAUUCAGUGGCACCAUGACUCAGCCAACAGUUUUUCAAGUUCAUUAUUAUCCGGUUAAACUUGAAUGCAAUAAGCUGAGCCAUAAUACGAAAACAUGAUGCAACUACAAUGCAUGGUCAUGAUAUCAACAUGGGGGUGCAACAAAAUCAUCGAGCAUAACCACAAUGAAUCAUAUAUCUGAAUGAGCAUGGCAUACUGACGAGCAUGAAAAACACAAGCAUAACUCUACAUAGGCAUAACAUGACUACUGGCAUCAUAAGUAAACAUCAUGCAACAACAUAACAAGAAUACUACAAAGUGAGCAUGCAACCAUCUAGAUGCAACGGAACAAACAUAGCAACGGUACGGAAUAACAAACUAAGCAUGCAUCCCAAGAACAUCAGUGCUACCAGCAUGUAUUACUACUACCAAACAUGACUUACGAACAUGAUACUAGCAAGUAGUACAAGAUAACAAAAUGCAUCGGAACAUAGCAUGAAAGUGAACAAGAAUCCACGAGCAUAACCGAAACAACGAUAGUAGUAGCAAACAAGCAGGCAGAUAACGACAAACUUUUAUUAAAUAUUCAAGUUGAAAACCAAGGCUACUGCAUGACUAUCAUGCAAGUGGCUAGUGUGGCUUGCUUGGGGUGACGGAGACUCCGGGAAGAAUCGCGGUGAAGCCGCGGAACGAAACGCCGGACGGGGCAUAACCACAGUGUGAACACCUUGUGAAAAUGUUACCAACAGAAAGAUCUCGACGAGACGAAGAAGUGAGCAUUGGUUUCACCUCAAUCGGAGUUACGGUUGCGGAGUUAUGAGAGGUGGAAGCUCAGGGACCUAUCUGUGAAUAUUUUCAUCACCAGCAAGUCCCUGGCGGCUGAAACAGAAAGCGCAUAAAGCGAAAUACGUUUCCGGUAUAGAGGAAACGUAUUCUGGGUCGCAGUAGGACCAGAGUACGCUUUCAGACAUGUGAAAGUGUAUCCUUUAGCGAAAACGUAUAUCAAGAAAACGUCUCCGCUUAAAAACACCUGGGCCCGGGCUUGUGCCACUUACCGGUGGGGUCCGCGGGCAGGGGGAGG
RNAcentral lists this long non-coding RNA (2259 nucleotides) under Triticum aestivum (bread wheat). RNAcentral's name for it is "long non-coding RNA (TAES_LNC019406)". Lineage: Eukaryota; Viridiplantae; Streptophyta; Magnoliopsida; Poales; Poaceae. The record is from RNAcentral.